This 774-nucleotide ribosomal RNA is filed under the name uncultured Neocallimastigales. Its description in RNAcentral is "partial large subunit ribosomal RNA". It matches the Rfam family "Eukaryotic large subunit ribosomal RNA", at positions 24 to 639 of the family's 3401-position model. Lineage: Eukaryota; Fungi; Neocallimastigomycota; Neocallimastigomycetes; Neocallimastigales. The record is from RNAcentral.
UAUGUGAUCGUCUCUCGCAUAUCAAUAAGCGGAGGAAAAGAAACUAACAAGGAUUCCCCUAGUAACGGCGAGUGAAGCGGGAAGAGCUCAAAUUUGAAAUCUUAAAGGGUUUCCCUUUACGAAUUGUAGUUUAAAGAAGUGUUUUCUGUUGAGGUUUUGGUAAAAGUUCUUUGGAAUAGGACAUCAUAGAGGGUGAGAAUCCCGUAUUUGACCUUUACUUUCAACUUUGUGAUACACUUUCAAAGAGUCGGAUUGUUUGGGAAUGCAGUCCAAAAUGGGUGGUAAAUUUCAUCUAAAGCUAAAUAUUGGCGAGAGACCGAUAGCGAACAAGUACCGUGAGGGAAAGAUGAAAAGAACUUUGAAAAGAGAGUUAAACAGUACGUGAAAUUGUCAAAAGGGAAGCGUUUGACACCAGUGUUGUUUUUCUGAAAAUCAAUUAAAGAACUGUUUAUGCUAAGUUGUUUAGACUUUAUCAGCUAUCUGUUUAGUUUUGAGCUUUUCUUUAAUGCACUUUUCAGUUAACAAGUCAACAUCAAUUUCUUUUGCUGUAAAAAAGCUUGAGGAAGGUGGCUUGAGAUUCGUCUUAAGUGUUUAUAGCCUCUUGCCUAUGCAGUCGGAGAGAUUGAGGUCUGCAGCGUAGAUCCUUCGGGGCUAAAUGCAUUUGUGCUAAGUUAUAGCAUUUUAUAGACAACUUGUUGACUAUGAUUUGUCUUGUAGCUUACUCGCUUAUGUUAUUUUACCUACGCUUAGGAUGUUGACGCGCGUGUGUGCGUG